GUCCCGCAACGAGCGCAACCCUUAUCAUUAGUUGCUACGCAAGGGCACUCUAAUGAGACUGCCGGUGACAACCGGAGGAAGGUGGGAUGACGUCAAGUCCUCAUGGCCCUUAUGGUAGGGCUUCACACGUCAUACAAUGGUCGGUACAGAGGGUUGCCAAGCCGCGAGGCGGAGCCAAUCCCACAAAGCCGAUCGUAGUCUGGAUUGUUCUCUGCAACUCGAGAGCAUGAAGUCGGAAUCGCUAGUAAUCGCAGGUCAGCAUACUGCGGUGAAUACGUUCCCGGGUCUU
This 289-nucleotide ribosomal RNA is filed under the name uncultured Thiobacillus sp. Its description in RNAcentral is "partial 16S ribosomal RNA". It matches the Rfam family "Bacterial small subunit ribosomal RNA", at positions 1084 to 1382 of the family's 1533-position model. Lineage: Bacteria; Pseudomonadati; Pseudomonadota; Betaproteobacteria; Nitrosomonadales; Thiobacillaceae. The record is from RNAcentral.